CUGAUUUGGUGACGCUGUUCCCCCGAACACGUUACCUGGUUAAUCAGUCCUGAGAAAACUGAUUAGCCCGUCAAAACCCACGCCUGAGAACGUGGGUUUUUUCGU
RNAcentral lists this non-coding RNA (105 nucleotides) under Erwinia sp. JUb26. The record is from RNAcentral. Lineage: Bacteria; Pseudomonadati; Pseudomonadota; Gammaproteobacteria; Enterobacterales; Erwiniaceae.